Molecule: long non-coding RNA, 762 nt
Organism: Pipra filicauda (Wire-tailed manakin)
Lineage: Eukaryota; Metazoa; Chordata; Aves; Passeriformes; Pipridae
Exons: 4
Source: RefSeq, a predicted model, not a curated record
CGCCCGCCGCAGCCGCCGGAGCCGGGCGAGGAGCGAGCCCGGCCGCCCGGAGCCGCCGGGAAGAGGCUCGGGCCGCGGCAGUCCCGCGGGGAGGCAGCGAGGGGACCCUCGCCGAAAGCGCGAACAACACCCCCCCACACACUCCGCCGCGCCGCCUCUGCCCGCCCCCAGCGAAGAGAAACAAAACACAACCCUGGCACAGCCACGCUCUCCCUCUUUCUCCUCUCGGCAUUUGGUGGUUGUUUUUUUUUUUUAUUAAAUUUUUUCUUUUUUUUUUCUUGGGGAUUCUUCUCUCUCUUGCCAGACUGACUUACACCUUCUUGAUAAUUUCUCUUCCCCUCGUUUUUUUUAUACUUUUCUCCCUGCUUUCAAACCCUGUGUCUGUGUGUUUCAAUACUAUCACAACCUCUGCUAAAAAUAGAUCUUUUUAUAUACCCUUCCUCCUCUCUGACCCCAUCCAACACCCCUUGUUAAGGUAACCAUCUUACACACAGAGCAAGAAACAUAAAUUCACUUGGCUGUCCUGUAUCUCUAAGGAACCUGAUGCAUGACUGGACUAGAGAAGGGGAAGACAGAAAAACUCCAAAGACCUACAUAUCAUCUUGCUGGCAGGGUCAAGUUUUCUUCAGAUUGAGGCAGAACUGUGGCUCGUGAACAUCUGAUGUGAUAGAACAUACUCAACACUCUUAGAUAUCUUGAGACCUCAGAGUGACUUCAAAAACUGACCAACGACGGCAUUUUUUAAAAUAUCACUGGUCUUCU